This 23-nucleotide non-coding RNA is filed under the name Cricetulus griseus (Chinese hamster). The record is from RNAcentral. Lineage: Eukaryota; Metazoa; Chordata; Mammalia; Rodentia; Cricetidae.
GGGAACUAGGGAAAUAGAUAUCU